CCCCUAGAUGUUCUGGGCCGCACGCGCGCUACACUGAACAGUUCAACAAGUCUUAACCUUGGCCGAUAGGUCUGGGUAAUCUUUGAACGCUGUUCGUGAUUGGGAUAGACCUUUGCAAUUAUGGGUCUUCAACGAGGAAUUCCUAGUAAACGCAAGUCAUCAGCUUGCAUUGAUUACGUCCCUGCCCUUUGUACACACCGCCCGUCGCACCUAACGAUUGAAUGGUCCGGUGAAAUCUCGGGACGGCGGCUUGGUCGCUUGCGUCCGACUGCUGAAACUUGAUUAAACCAUNUNAUUUAGNGGAAGGUGAANUCGUANCA
Molecule: ribosomal RNA, 320 nt
Filed under: uncultured eukaryote
Lineage: Eukaryota
Description: partial 18S ribosomal RNA
Rfam family: Eukaryotic small subunit ribosomal RNA
Source: RNAcentral